Molecule: small nucleolar RNA, 64 nt
Organism: Physeter macrocephalus (sperm whale)
Lineage: Eukaryota; Metazoa; Chordata; Mammalia; Artiodactyla; Physeteridae
Gene: SNORD58
Rfam family: Small nucleolar RNA SNORD58
About the family: snoRNA U58 is found in introns 1, 3 and 6 of the ribosomal protein RPL17 gene in humans. U58 is a member of the C/D class of snoRNA which contain C (UGAUGA) and D (CUGA) box motifs. Most of the members of the box C/D family function in directing site-specific 2'-O-methylation of substrate RNAs.
Source: Ensembl
UUGCUGUGACGACUAACUUAGGACACCUUUGGAAUAGCCAUGAAAGGAGACUCUUCUGAGCAAC